UAAACUCGUCCGUUGUGGGAGUGUGUCGCUCGUCUUUUUAUUCAUAACUGCGCGUUCUCACAAUAUAAACAACGCUGUUUGUACUUAGUUUUUCGUUAAAGUAAACCUUUGUAUCGUGAUUUAUCCGUUUUAUAUAUUCACUACCUCAAAAUAGAUGUUAUUGUCAAGAUUUCGCGAAACAAACAUUGUGCACACACUUAACUUCGCCGGUUUUGAAGAUGUAGUAUCAUCAUUUGAUCCUGGGCAUUAACAAGUCAAAAGGCUGUACUAGAAUAGUCACAACACACAUUGAAUUUAAGUAUUUACUCGCAUUUGGUUUUCGCCGAAAACUUUUCGGUGUUCGAUACACUGUAUUUGCCGUGCCUUGGAGUCAAUGAGUUUUGCAUUGCAAUUGCCUUCGAGUUCCGAUGCCUGACUUACGAGCUAAGUUAGAAUUCGAAUUUCAUUCGCUUCGUCGUUCGAUUUAAAAUAAAAUAAAUAUUGACACCCCUUCCCGCAUUUCCGCUUAACAAUGUUAUUUAUUUCACAGAUUUUAUCAGCUUCAACAAUAGUUCUGAGUGUUGCAACGAGUGAAAUACUGUUGUUGGAUGAAGCAUUGGCUAAUCCUGAGAUGACCAAGUUUAUCAAUAGGGACCAACUGGAGAGGUUCCGUGGUACUGGUGGAGGAGUCCGUAUUGAGGAUUAUGUUUUAAUUACUGAAGAUGGAUGUGUCAACUGGACUUAAGUUCCAAGAACUGUACAAGAAAUUGAAGAUUGGAUUGCCGGUGUUGAUGAUGAUUCCAAAUACAAUUGAAUGAAUUUACAACAUUUGGAAGCUGUUAUUGAUAUCAUUUUUGUUUAUUUUGUUAAGUUAUGAAAAGAGCAUUAUAUAAUUGCAUAUUAUUAUCCUGUUUUCUUGCUUGUAUUGUUGAAAAUGCUGUAUAUAUUGAGAAAUUGAGUUUGUGAUUGUGUAUAUUCUACUUCUUUGAAUAAAAUUGUAGUUUUAUAUUUUUGACUAUAAA
Molecule: RNA transcript, 1001 nt
Organism: Dalotia coriaria
Lineage: Eukaryota; Metazoa; Arthropoda; Insecta; Coleoptera; Staphylinidae
Exons: 7
Source: RefSeq, a predicted model, not a curated record